GCGAAUGUGGUGAAGUUGGUUAACACAACCGGUUGUGGUCCGGUCAUUCGCGGGUUCGAGUCCCGUCUUUCGCCCCA
This 77-nucleotide transfer RNA is filed under the name Mycoplasmataceae bacterium. RNAcentral's name for it is "tRNA-His". It matches the Rfam family "tRNA". Rfam says of the family: Transfer RNA (tRNA) molecules are approximately 80 nucleotides in length. Their secondary structure includes four short double-helical elements and three loops (D, anti-codon, and T loops). The record is from RNAcentral. Lineage: Bacteria; Bacillati; Mycoplasmatota; Mollicutes; Mycoplasmatales; Mycoplasmataceae.